Molecule: ribosomal RNA, 254 nt
Filed under: uncultured bacterium
Lineage: Bacteria
Description: partial 16S ribosomal RNA
Rfam family: Bacterial small subunit ribosomal RNA
Source: RNAcentral
UACGUAGGGUGCGAGCGUUUGUCCGGAUUUAUUGGGCGUAAAGAGCGUGUAGGCGGUUUGGUAGGUCCGCUGUGAAAACUCGAGGCUCAACCUCGAGACGCCGGUGGAAACCAUCAGACUAGAGUCCGGAAGAGGAGAGUGGAAUUCCUGGUGUAGCGGUGAAAUGCGCAGAUAUCAGGAAGAACACCCGUGGCUAAGGCGGCUCUCUAGUACGGUACUGACGCUGAGACGCGAAAGCGUGGGGAGCGAACAGG